AACGCACGAGACCUGCGGACCUGCGGAGGGAUCAUUAUCGUGGAGCUCCGGCUCCUUCGAGGGAGAACCCUUGCCUUUUCGAGCACCUGUUUGUUUCCUCGGCAGGCCCGCCUGCCAAUGGGGACCCCUUUAAACUCUUGCAAUAACCUGUACACAAUCGUCUGAACAAAACAAACAAAUCAAAACUUUUAACAAUGGAUCUCU
This 204-nucleotide unclassified non-coding RNA is filed under the name soil metagenome. RNAcentral describes it as "partial contains 5.8S ribosomal RNA, internal transcribed spacer 2, and large subunit ribosomal RNA". The record is from RNAcentral.